GUUAAAAAGCUCGUAGUUGGAUUCCUGUACAGAAGUGGUUCCCUUACCCUUUGGAUGGGGGUUACUACAUUCUUUACAUCUUCCAUAGUAGGUGUUCUUCACUUAACUGUGCGGACAUCAUACUCUGGGCAUUUACUUUGAGGAAAUGAGAGUGCUUCAAGCAGGCAAACGCCUGAAUACAUAGCAUGGAAUAAUAGCAUCGGAUCAUCGUGCAGCUUCUGGUGUCUGAACGAAGAUAAAGGUGAACAGGGGUUGUUGGGGGCAUUCGUAUUUAACUGUCAGAGGUGAAAUUCUUGGAUUUGUUGAAGACGAGCUACUGCGAAAGCAUUUGCCAAAGAUGUUCUCAUUGAUCAAGAACGAAAGUUAGGUGAUCGAAGACGAUCAGAUACCGUCCUAGUCUUAACCAUAAACUAUGCCAACUGGAGAUGGGGCGUGUUUACACUUCGACUCUUCCCGCAUCUUGAGAGAAAUCAAAGUCUUUGGGUUCCGGGGGGAGUAUGGUCGCGAGGCUGAAACUUAAAGGAAUUGACGGAAGGGCCCCACCAGGAGUGGAGCCUGC
RNAcentral lists this ribosomal RNA (559 nucleotides) under uncultured marine eukaryote. Its description in RNAcentral is "bacterial SSU rRNA". It matches the Rfam family "Eukaryotic small subunit ribosomal RNA", at positions 618 to 1186 of the family's 1831-position model. The record is from RNAcentral.